UUCGGUGGCGAUGGCGGUGGGGUCACACCCGUUCCCAUUCCGAACACGGAAGUUAAGCCCACCAGCGCCGAUGGUACUUGGGUGGAGACGCCCUGGGAGAGUAGGUCGCCGCCGGAU
This 117-nucleotide ribosomal RNA is filed under the name bacterium. RNAcentral also lists the same sequence under 2 other names. The record is from RNAcentral.